RNAcentral lists this ribosomal RNA (253 nucleotides) under uncultured bacterium. RNAcentral describes it as "partial 16S ribosomal RNA". It matches the Rfam family "Bacterial small subunit ribosomal RNA", at positions 524 to 776 of the family's 1533-position model. The record is from RNAcentral.
CACGUAGGGAGCAAGCGUUGUCCGGAAUCAUUGGGCGUAAAGAGCGUGUAGGCGGUCCUGUAAGUCCGCUGUGAAAGUCAAGGGCUCAACCCUUGAAUGCCGGUGGAUACUGCAGGACUAGAGUCCGGAAGAGGCGAGUGGAAUUCCUGGUGUAGCGGUGAAAUGCGCAGAUAUCAGGAGGAACACCGAUGGCGAAGGCAGCUCGCUGGGACGGUACUGACGCUGAGACGCGAAAGCGUGGGGAGCAAACAGG